Molecule: ribosomal RNA, 120 nt
Organism: Pteropus vampyrus (large flying fox)
Lineage: Eukaryota; Metazoa; Chordata; Mammalia; Chiroptera; Pteropodidae
Source: Ensembl
GUCUAUGACCAUGCCACCCUGUACAGGCCUGAUCCCGUCUGAUCUCAGAAGCUAAGCAGGGACAGGCCUGAUUAGUACUUGGAUGGGAGACCACCUAGGAAGACCAGGUGGCUGUAGGCA